RNAcentral lists this ribosomal RNA (499 nucleotides) under uncultured bacterium. RNAcentral's name for it is "partial 16S ribosomal RNA". It matches the Rfam family "Bacterial small subunit ribosomal RNA", at positions 30 to 523 of the family's 1533-position model. The record is from RNAcentral.
AUUGAACGCUGGCGGCAUGCUUUACACAUGCAAGUCGAACGGUAACAGGGUGCUUGCACCGCUGACGAGUGGCGAACGGGUGAGUAAUGCGUCGGAACGUGCCGAGUAGUGGGGGAUAACGCAGCGAAAGUUGUGCUAAUACCGCAUACGUACUGAGGUAGAAAGUGGGGGACCUUCGGGCCUCACGCUAUUCGAGCGGCCGACGUCUGAUUAGCUAGUAGGUGAGGUAAAGGCUCACCUAGGCGACGAUCAGUAGCGGGUCUGAGAGGAUGAUCCGCCACACUGGGACUGAGACACGGCCCAGACUCCUACGGGAGGCAGCAGUGGGGAAUUUUGGACAAUGGGCGAAAGCCUGAUCCAGCCAUGCCGCGUGUCUGAAGAAGGCCUCGGGUUGUAAAGGACUUUUGUCAGGGAGGAAAUCCCUAGUGCUAGUAACACUGGGGGAUGACAGUACCUGAAGAAUAAGCACCGGCUAACUACGUGCCAGCCGCCGCUGUAA